GAUGAACGCUGGCGGCGUGCCUAAUACAUGCAAGUCGAGCGGACAGACGAGGAGCUUGCUCAUCUGACUUUAGCGCCGGACGGUUAAGUAACACGUACAUACCCUACAUAUAAGACUAAGUUCACUUAAGGAGACCGAAGCUAGUACCGGAUAAUAUAUUGCACCGCAUGGUUCGGUAAGUAACGGCGGUUUUGCUGUCGCUUAUAGAUGAAUCCGCGCCGCAUUAGCUAGUUGGUAAGGUAAUGGCUUACCGAGGCAACGAGUGGUAGCCGACCGGAUAGGGUGGUAGGCCACAUGGGAAGUGAGACAGGGUCCAGGCGCCUACGGGAGGCAGCAGUAGGGUACCGGCGGCAAUGGGCGAAAGCCUGACGGAGCAACGCCGCGUGUGUGAUGAAGGCCUUCGGAUCGUAAAACUCUGUUAUUAGUUAAGAACAAAUGUGGAAUGAAACAUGCACGUCGUGACGGUACCUAAUCAGAAAGCAACGGCUAACUACGUG
Molecule: ribosomal RNA, 497 nt
Filed under: uncultured bacterium
Lineage: Bacteria
Description: partial 16S ribosomal RNA
Rfam family: Bacterial small subunit ribosomal RNA
Source: RNAcentral